RNAcentral lists this ribosomal RNA (468 nucleotides) under uncultured Glomus. Its description in RNAcentral is "SSU rRNA". It matches the Rfam family "Eukaryotic small subunit ribosomal RNA", at positions 569 to 1042 of the family's 1831-position model. Lineage: Eukaryota; Fungi; Glomeromycota; Glomeromycetes; Glomerales; Glomeraceae. The record is from RNAcentral.
AGCAGCCGCGGUAAUUCCAGCUCCAAUAGCGUAUAUUAAAGUUGUUGCAGUUAAAAAGCUCGUAGUUGAAUUUCGGGAUCAACACGUCGGUCGUGCCAUCGGUAUGCACUGGCGUCGUUGGUUUCUCCUUUCUGAUGAUACGUGAUGCCAUUAAUUUGGUGCUACGAGGAAUCAGGACUGUUACUUUGAAAAAUUAGAGUGUUUAAAGCAGGCAAUCGCUUGAAUACAUUAGCAUGGAAUAAUGAAAUAGGACGUUCGAUCCUAUUUCGUUGGUUUCUAGGAUCAACGUAAUGAUUAAUAGGGAUAGUUGGGGGCAUUAGUAUUCAAUUGUCAGAGGUGAAAUUCUUGGAUUUAUUGAAGACUAACUACUGCGAAAGCAUUUGCCAAGGAUGUUUUCAUUAAUCAAGAACGAAAGUUAGGGGAUCGAAGACGAUCAGAUACCGUCGUAGUCUUAACCAUAAACUAUGC